UGACCGUGGGGGGUGGGCGGCUCAUACAGGGACAAGAGGAUUCUGUUGUGUGUCUCUCGCUCCCUUAAAGAGAAGUGUGCUCUCCCCCUGUUAAGUUGUUCACUUGUGUGGGAGGAAGGGGAGGGGGGGGCGGUCUUGUCCCUUGGCACUUCUAAGACUAAGCACCUUAAACUGAACUAAUGCACUUUAUUAUUAAGAGGGGAUUUUUUUUGUUUUACGAACACAGAAUCAGUAUGCGUGUGGUGCGUGUGUGUGUGUGUGUGUGUGUGUGUGUGUGUUUGUACUGAGUCUACACGCGACACAGUACGCAUACGACUGUGAAUCUGAACUGGAAGGGUGAAAUGGGAGGGCGACGUCAGAGUUAGAGGGGACCUUUCUUUUGAAACCUUAUCAGAAAAACAAAUCCUUUCUUGAAAAGACAAACACUGUUUAUGUUGUUUUUUUGUUGUUUUUUUAAAGACAAUACCUUUAUAUAAAAAGCAAAGCUAUUACAAAAAAAAUUAUUAAAAAAACAACAAACUUGAAGAUUUGCACUUGCAUUGAGAGGAAAAAUAGAAAAAAAAACUGGGGUUAUGUAUAUAGAUGGGCAGUUUUUGUGAAUGUGUACAUGAGUGUGUGUGAAGGCAGUGUGUAUCAAACAUGCUAGUCUGCACAUUGGAUUUUUUUCCUAUUGCUUACCAAGAUGUAUGAAAACAUACCAGGCCAUUAUGUCAUUUUGUUCAAAUUAGAUGUUUUGUAUUCAUGAAUGUCUGUCCUCUUGUAUUUUGUCUGUGUGCGUGCGUGCGUGCGUGCGUGUGUGUGAGUGAGAGCAGGCAGUCGCACAACACAUCCUUUCUCAGCAGCUCUUCAUCCCCAGAUGUGUCGCUCAACCAUAAGUGGAGCGUGGUUCUGGCUUUGUGCUUGUUCAUACGUUUUUGGCUGCACUGUGUUUUGCUUUUGUUUUGUUUUUUGGGGUGCCUCUCCCACGCUCAGUUCUGUCUGCCACGGCCUCUGAGCCUCUAUGAGGUUCCCAGCAGACGGUUAUGAAGGUCUUCAGUGAGAAAUUGAGCGCGCUGUGUAUGAUUGUGCGUGUGCUUCUUUACUAAACCUAGAAGAGAAAAGUGUGUGCGCGUGUGUGCGCAUGCACAUCUGUGCCUAAGAACUCUGAAAAGGUGAACGGGAGGGAAUGUUCAGUGAACGGCCAUUGAGACAUUAAGGACUGUCUCUGAGAGUCGACUGUUGUGUGAAGCGCUCUUGCGCAGCCUGUCAAUAUUGCUAGUUUAGUACGGGGAUGAUGAUGUUGUGUGAUGAUUCUUUAGUCCAGUUUAGUUUUCCUGGGAUGUGAUCACCUUGUCUCGUCUGCUCUCUAACUCCUGUGUGAAAGGUGUUGAGUUUCUGGUUCUGUUCACAACAAUUAGCGUCAGCCUGUCUGUUUAUGCAUACAGAAGGGUGCGCGUAAUGUUAGGAUAUUGUUGUGUUACUUACUCAUUGUUGUUGAUAUUGAUAAUAGAUUUUUUUUAUAAAUAUAUCUAUAUUAUAAAUGAAAAUUUAUAUAUGAAUAUACGUAAACAUUAUAGACAAAGUGUAAAAAAUAAAAAAAAAAGUAUUUGGACUAAGUUUGAUGAGCACUUGGGGCUGCUAUUUUUUUUUUUUUUUUGAUUUUAUUGUAAUUUUUUGGGUUUGUUUCAUUACCGCCAUGUGAAGUGCGUUUGUGUUAUUUCUUUCUUAAGAAAACAUUGAAUGUAUUCCCCAAAAAAAGAAAAACCGUGAUGAUACUGGAUUUUUUUUCUUCAUAAAUUUUACAGAAAUGGAAACAAACAAAAAAAAAUCUGAGGUAGAAGGUGUAAGUGAACUCUUUCCUCUUUUCUUUUACACACAAAGGAGGAACAACUCUGGAAGGCUACAGUUGAACACACUGCCUCGCAUUCCUGCAAUUCGUACAAAAACAAUAUUAAUAUAAAAAAAAAUAAAGAACAGACUUCUAUUCCUUACUGGAGUUUUGGUUGUUUACAAAACACAGAUUUCUGUGGGUGCAGAAUAUUAUUUUGUGUGGCGUGGGGGCGCAGGGCGUAAGUGCGCUUCUGCAGUAUAUGCAUUCAGUGGCGUUCAUUUUUAGGCAAGGAUGAGGAGGAAUAAUACAAUGUGAGACUAGUUCCUCCCCCUUUGACCCUUUAGGGGGCGGGACUCUUUGGAACUGAUUGAACGUCAAGGAGCCCAGGAGAAAAUCAAAUCAAAGAUUGUCUUCUUUAUUCUCUCAGUUAUUUUUUUUUGCAGGACAGGUGGGUCUUUGUUAUUAUGUUGACUUCUGUUGACUUGUUUUUGUUUUGAAAUGCCUGUAUUUUAACGAGAAAAGGACUCUUAAGGUGUUACGGAGUGCAACAUUUAAUCAAAAAUCAGAGCACCGCUGAGGGGUUUUUGGUACUUGGAACAUGCAUAAAGGAAACAAUAUCAUCGCUUUAAUACAAACAGCAUUUGGAGAGGAAUUGUGGUUGUAACAUUUCUGUGCUCCACAAACAUAUAAAACAAAGAUGGACAAAACUGUGAGGAGUGGAUGAAAAUAAAGGAAAUUAAACAUUUUGUAAAACUAUACAUAAAAACACAUGAUGUUGACCUCAAAUCAUUGCAGUCGAUUGUACUGUGCAGGCAGAAUCUGUUCUUUUCUUUUGUUUGAACGGGGGUCUUGGGUUGUGCUUUGGGCAUUUGUUAACCCUGUGAUGAGGGGACGCCCGAGGGAACCCCUCAACCCUCCACCCUCAAGCAAUGCACUUUGGUUCGUUCUGAUUGUGAGGAUCCCACAGGGAGUUUGGGUGAAAAUAUGGAACUGAGUUAAUUACCGUCUAACUGAAAAUGAGAGAUUCAAACUGAAACGAAAGACUGAGGAACACACCGCCUUCCUUCCUAAUGUACAUAACCAUAUUUUUGUAUUGCCUUUAAAGAAAAAUAAUUUGGACAACUACAAAAGCUUGACUCACAAACAAACAGAUGAAGGACAUUUUAUGAUCCCUUGAUUUUGAGAGUGAAUAUUCCUUGAGGAAUUUCUUUUUUUUUUUUUUUUUUGUUUACUGGGGUACAUGAACUACUUGGACGUUCCCCGGACUUUGCCAGUUGCCCUAUCUAUCAUCAGGGUGGGGGAAAGGACUUAAAAUGGAUGGAACCUGUGAAUGCAGGGACUCCCGAGACUGAAUGAUCGUUGUCAUCAGUACGGAUGUGGCUGCUGAGCCCAGGGUAUUUGAACAACCUGCACCAGCCCACAGCAAAGGCGGAGGACAGACGGACUGGUCGAUGUACCCAGAGACCUGCUGUCCAGGUGCCCCUGAUGUCUGUCAUCUAGCCACUGCCUGGAAAGCAAGUAUAAUGUGCCUGCUAGGAGAACCGUCUUAUGGGAACCUCCCAGCUGCCCUCUGCUGGAAGCAGAGAAGAUCCCCAGUGUGGUCUUCCUCUCUGCCCUAACCAGGCAGGAACAACAUUACCUGCAAACGCAGAGGAACUGGAGCAAUGAAGACGAACACAAAACACACACCCACACCUUGGAGAUUUACAGACCGAUGGAUUCUGGUUAAGGAAUUGCAAUGACAUUUGCUCAAACGGACAGGCUCUUUUCUAGGACCACAUGUAUGCACUUAACUAAAAAGUAUUCGUCUUUACUCUCUCACACACACACACAAAUUGAGAUCCAGAAAGGUUAAUACCAUACACAUGUAAAUAAUGUAGAAGUGUUUUUUUAUUUUCUUGUUUCUUUUCCUUUCUCUGUUCAACCUGCCUUAACUGUACAGAUCCACCUAGUAUGACACACACACAAACACACACAUAAACACACCAACAUAUAUAUAUAAAUAACCAGUAAGAGAGGAAGUGAGCAGGAGAACCUAAGAACUACUAGCAUGCGAAGGGAAGAGGGACGAUGUGUUAAUGACUAACAGUACUGUUGUUUCCAUCUAGCGUAUACCACGCAUGUAAACUACAAAGUAGAACUGUAGGGCAAACCAUAAUAAUGAAGGCAGUUAUGAUAACGGUGACAGUUUGCCUUUUUACAAAGCGUGAGUGACACUGUUCAGAUAUCCUCUUUUUAAACGCCUAUACAUGUAGCUGAAGAUGCAGGCUGAGGAACAAGGAGUCCAGAGCCUAUAUUGUACGGAGCUGAGCUGACUGGGAGAGGCAUAUUGAAAUCAGUCCCUUAAAACAAACGACCUGACAUGUUACCUACCAUUAUGUAUCCAUUCGGUAGGAACUAUUAGGAAGCAAUGAGCAGGAGUUUGAGACUUGAUUUGAAAGGGAUAGUUAACCCAAAUGAACCCUGAUAGCAGCUGCAGGACAAGUUAUGACAGCACCAUAUUUUGGUUUUAUUUCCAGAUUGAUUUGAGCGACAAAUAUUGAAAUACAGGGCUACUUUUUAAAAUACAGGAGAUAUUUUUUGACUUGUUGUUUAGUAGAUUGUAAUAAAUAUUUGAGACAAUUAGCUCACUGUUUUCUGGCUCAGAUUAUUGUAUUGUAUUGGUGAUUUACUCACUCAGGUUUCAUCACAAGUUUGUUUGAGAGGCCGUUUUGUUAAGUAUUUAGACCAUCUAUGCAGUUGAUAAUGGAUUUGUCUAUUUGCAUUUGGGGAGAAAAAUAUAGUGAAAAAAUGCUGGUGAAAAAUGCUGGUGAAAUAUCAACAGGAAUUCCAAAUAUUUAUUGACAAAUGUAUGUAUGCCAAAUACAUUUACAAAUGUAUAUUAUCCAUUUUAAAAUGACAAAAGGAAAAUAUUUAACCCCCCCCCCCCC
This is a long non-coding RNA of Esox lucius (northern pike), 4740 nucleotides long. RefSeq lists it as uncharacterized. Lineage: Eukaryota; Metazoa; Chordata; Actinopteri; Esociformes; Esocidae. The record is from RefSeq and is a predicted model, not a curated record. The transcript is spliced from 2 exons.